GAUGAACGCUGGCGGCGUGCCUAAUACAUGCAAGUCGAGCGAACGGACGAGAAGCUUGCUUCUCUGAUGUUAGCGGCGGACGGGUGAGUAACACGUGGAUAACCUACCUAUAAGACUGGGAUAACUUCGGGAAACCGGAGCUAAUACCGGAUAAUAUUUUGAACCGCAUGGUUCAAAAGUGAAAGACGGUCUUGCUGUCACUUAUAGAUGGAUCCGCGCUGCAUUAGCUAGUUGGUAAGGUAACGGCUUACCAAGGCAACGAUGCAUAGCCGACCUGAGAGGGUGAUCGGCCACACUGGAACUGAGACCCGGUCCAGGCUCCUGAGGGAGGCAGCAGUAGGGAAUCUUCCGCAAUGGGCGAAAGCCUGACGGAGCAACGCCGCGUGAGUGAUGAAGGUCUUCGGAUCGUAAAACUCUGUUAUUAGGGAAGAACAUAUGUGUAAGUAACUGUGCACAUCUUGACGGUACCUAAUCAGAAAGCCACGGCUAACUACGUG
Molecule: ribosomal RNA, 497 nt
Filed under: uncultured bacterium
Lineage: Bacteria
Description: partial 16S ribosomal RNA
Rfam family: Bacterial small subunit ribosomal RNA
Source: RNAcentral